This 1980-nucleotide long non-coding RNA is filed under the name Nicotiana tabacum (common tobacco). RNAcentral's name for it is "long non-coding RNA (NTAB_LNC012611)". Lineage: Eukaryota; Viridiplantae; Streptophyta; Magnoliopsida; Solanales; Solanaceae. The record is from RNAcentral.
UGGUCCAAUAGUAAGACUCCCCUACUUAGGUUAAAACCAAAUGGUAGAUCUAAGUACUCGAAUUUUUUUUAAUCCCCAUAUACUCAAACAUCUCAUAAAAUGUUGCUAUGCUUUAUCGAAUACAUGAUGUGACUGGCACCCGGCUAACACCACCUGCUAGGCGAACCAUACUUUCACACUUUAGCCAUUAAUUUGCAAUAUUUAGUUAAUUAUGAGUAUCCAAAUAAUUUGAUAGUUAAUUAUGAACAAUUGGUAUCUCAAAUUAUUAAAUUAAAACUCUAGCAAAAAUUCUACACUAGACCAUGGAGCAUCUAAGAGAAUUACAAAAGACAUCACAUGGAUAAAUAAUAAAGACUCUUUUGGCAGCCUCCACGAACAAUGCGGCUGCUCACCUCAAUAACUAAAUUAACUCCAACGAACUCGUCAGCUAUUAGCUCCGUCUUCACCAAUGGUAUCUGCAUAGAAAUGCAGAUAAGGAGUGAGUUAUACGUAAAUAUAACCCAGUAACAUCCUCGACCUGCCACUUUAANNNNNNNNNNNNNNNNNNNNNNNNNNNNNNNNNNNNNNNNNNNNNNNNNNNNNNAUAAUUGCAGUGAAAGAAAUAUACCAACACACCACGAGUCCACAACGGCACCACAAUGCCCCAACAUCAUGGCACACAGCCGUAUCAAACUCGACAUCAUGGCGCACAGCCGUAUCAAACUCAACAUCAUGGCGCACAGCCGUAUCAAACUCAAUAUCAUGGGGCACAGCCGUAUCAAACUCAACGUCAUGGCGCACAGCCGUAUCAAACUCAACAUCAUGGCACACAUCCGUAUCAAACUCAACAUCAUGGCGCAGAGCCGUAUCAAACUCAAUAUCAUGACCCAUAACCGUAUCAAACUCAAUAUCAUGGCGCACAACCAUAUCAAACUCAACAUCAUGGCGCACAGCCGUAUCAAACUCAAUAUGAUGGCGCACAGCCGUAUCAAACUAUAAAACUCAACCAUAUGGCGCACAGCCGUAUCACACUAUCAAAUAACUUAUAAAAUAAUAUAGUUGCAGCUAGUCUGAGACCACCAAUUCUACCAAGCGUACGCUUGUCCCAACACAUGGAUCAGGCAGAGAAAAUACACUUUCAAAAUGGGUUUCAGAGAAGCAAGUAUCAAAGCAUAAAGUCUCACUUACCUUGAUAACGACCAGUCCCGCAAUUUUGGCGACGUCCAAAACAUCGACCAAACAGCCUCCAAUGACCGCAAUCUAUGCAAAAUAUUGAUUAGCAUUAUCAAUCAUUCUAGUCGGAGUCAUUUUAUUUUAUUUUGUUUUAUUUUUUGGAGUAGGUAUAUCAUAAACAACCAAAACUCCCCAUCAAUAUGAUUAAAUCCCCGAUCUAACUAUAUUUCCGAGUUAUUCAUAACUCAAGAGUUGAAACCUAUAAUCAAGUUCUAAUCUUAGUGCUAACUGACAAAUCAAAUCUCAUAUUUCAUAAAUUUCAAGCUUCGGGUUAAAUGUCUGUAUUUUACACCUCAAAUACAUAUUUUAAUAUCACCAUCCGAACUUAAUUGGUGAAUAAAAUAAAUCCAACAUUUUUGUACUCUUGUGCCAAAAUAUAUUCCUAGCAAGUAUACAAUUUAAAAAAAAUAUAGUACAUAACGCCCAAAACAGUGGCAUUCCCUUAGAACUAAUACGUUAACCUAUAUUUCCAAUUGCUAUAAUGAUUAAUCUCAUGAUUGCAUAAUAAUUAUUCUAUCCUAAAUCAUAGCCAUUAUAAUUACAUUCAAUCGUAGUAUCAUCAUUAAACUAAUUACUUCAACUCAAAUUAAUAUGCAACUGAAGGAUAGAAUUAGAUUAACAUAUUCAUAUACCUGAUUGUUUAUAAUUCUCCACACAAGGUGUAGUGUAAGUUAAUCGAGCCCAAACAACCAUUUAUUUUCCAUCGCACUGCCGCCGUCUGCUGCUCCAAAUAGUCCCUCUUUGAGUUAAUUUUUUUUCUCCUUAUCU